GUGUAUGUGAAUCAAGAAAACUAAGACGAAACUGAUGGGACUCUAGCUUGUGGGAAAUCACUAAGCACACAGUUCUCAUUCAUACAUUGUAUCUUUUCAGUUCAGGACUGUUCUAUCCUUUCUCAUGAGAAAGUGCCUUCCUCUACCAGGACCUGUUCUGUUCUUUCUCAUGGGAAAGUGUUUUUCUCCACCAGAGUACCUGAGAGAAAUGCAUCCAAUCUAAUUGGGAGGAACUUUAUCAUGCAGCAAGACAAUCACCCAAAACACACUGCCAACACAACAACGGACUUCUUCAGGGGGAAAAAAGUGGGAAGAACAGUUUGGUGAUGUCAGUGGGUCACCAGCUUGAUGCGGUUACUGCAAGCAAGGGAUGCAUCCUCAGCUUGUUGAUCAGUGGUGUUGGAUCAGAUUUCUGCAAACUGCUCUCUGACAAUGUUUAUUGUCGGAACACAACAAUGACCUAGUGAUUCUAUGGUUACUAAAACCUAAAGGACAAAGACAAAAUACUUAUCAAAAACUAAGUAUUAAACUCUGCUCAGACUAAAACAAUAAGCAAUGUCUUAGCUACUGUAAUAGCUACAGCUGCUGGGUCCUAUUAAUGGGACAAACUGUGCUAUUUAUUAAGAAUGGUACACAGGAUUGUUUUUUUAAUCCCACUCCAGCAGACACCGUUAAUCCCACCCACUUCUGCAGUUCUAAUUUUUGCUUGCACCUGCCAGUGAUAUUUUCUAAGGAAUCUUUGGUUGGUUCUAUUUCCACAAAUGUAAACAAAUAGUUUAAACCACAGUGAUUAAAGUAUUUACUGAAAAUGAA
Pangasianodon hypophthalmus (striped catfish) is the source of this 813-nucleotide long non-coding RNA. RefSeq lists it as uncharacterized. Lineage: Eukaryota; Metazoa; Chordata; Actinopteri; Siluriformes; Pangasiidae. The transcript has 3 exons. The record is from RefSeq and is a predicted model, not a curated record.